AAACCAACCGGGAUUGCCUCAGUAACGGCGAGUGAAGCGGCAAAAAGCUCAAAUUUGAAAUCUGGCACUUUCAGUGUCCGAGCUGUAAUUUGUAGAAGUAGUUUUGGGACUGGUCCUUAUCUAUGUUUCUUGGAACAGGACGUCAUAGAGGGUGAGAACCCCGUAUGAUGAGGCCCCCAGUCCUUUGUAAAACGCUUUCGAAGAGUCGAGUUGUUUGGGAAUGCAGCUCUAAGUGGGUGGUAAAUUCCAUCUAAAGCUAAAUAUUGGCGAGAGACCGAUAGCGAACAAGUACAGUGAUGGAAAGAUGAAAAGAACUUUGAAAAGAGAGUGAAAAAGUACGUGAAAUUGUUGAAAGGGAAGGGCAUUUGAUCAGACAUGGUGUUUUGCGCCCUUUGCUCCUUGUGGGCGGAGGAUACGCAGCUCACUGGGCCAACAUCAGUUUUGGGAGCAGGAUAAAUCUGUAGGAACGUAGCUUUCUUCGGGAAUGUAUAGCCUACGGGAUACUGCUA
RNAcentral lists this ribosomal RNA (509 nucleotides) under uncultured Hanseniaspora. Its description in RNAcentral is "eukaryotic LSU rRNA". It matches the Rfam family "Eukaryotic large subunit ribosomal RNA", at positions 62 to 575 of the family's 3401-position model. The record is from RNAcentral. Lineage: Eukaryota; Fungi; Ascomycota; Saccharomycetes; Saccharomycodales; Saccharomycodaceae.